UUUAUGGAGAGUUUGAUCCUGGCUCAGAGUGAACGCUGGCGGCGUGCCUAAUACAUGCAAGUCGAACGAUGAAGCUUCUAGCUUGCUAGAAGUGGAUUAGUGGCGCACGGGUGAGUAACGCAUAGGUCAUGUGCCUCUUAGUUUGGGAUAGCCAUUGGAAACGAUGAUUAAUACCAGAUACUCCCUACGGGGGAAAGAUUUAUCGCUAAGAGAUCAGCCUAUGUCCUAUCAGCUUGUUGGUAAGGUAAUGGCUUACCAAGGCUAUGACGGGUAUCCGGCCUGAGAGGGUGAACGGACACACUGGAACUGAGACACGGUCCAGACUCCUACGGGAGGCAGCAGUAGGGAAUAUUGCUCAAUGGGGGAAACCCUGAAGCAGCAACGCCGCGUGGAGGAUGAAGGUUUUAGGAUUGUAAACUCCUUUUGUUAGAGAAGAUAAUGACGGUAUCUAACGAAUAAGCACCGGCUAACUCCGUGCCAGCAGCCGCGGUAAUACGGAGGGUGCAAGCGUUACUCGGAAUCACUGGGCGUAAAGAGCGCGUAGGCGGGAUAGUCAGUCAGGUGUGAAAUCCUAUGGCUUAACCAUAGAACUGCAUUUGAAACUACUAUUCUAGAGUGUGGGAGAGGUAGGUGGAAUUCUUGGUGUAGGGGUAAAAUCCGUAGAGAUCAAGAGGAAUACUCAUUGCGAAGGCGACCUGCUGGAACAUUACUGACGCUGAUUGCGCGAAAGCGUGGGGAGCAAACAGGAUUAGAUACCCUGGUAGUCCACGCCCUAAACGAUGGAUGCUAGUUGUUGGAGGGCUUAGUCUCUCCAGUAAUGCAGCUAACGCAUUAAGCAUCCCGCCUGGGGAGUACGGUCGCAAGAUUAAAACUCAAAGGAAUAGACGGGGACCCGCACAAGCGGUGGAGCAUGUGGUUUAAUUCGAAGAUACACGAAGAACCUUACCUAGGCUUGACAUUGAGAGAAUCCGCUAGAAAUAGUGGAGUGUCUAGCUUGCUAGACCUUGAAAACAGGUGCUGCACGGCUGUCGUCAGCUCGUGUCGUGAGAUGUUGGGUUAAGUCCCGCAACGAGCGCAACCCCCUUUCUUAGUUGCUAACAGGUCAUGCUGAGAACUCUAAGGAUACUGCCUCCGUAAGGAGGAGGAAGGUGGGGACGACGUCAAGUCAUCAUGGCCCUUACGCCUAGGGCUACACACGUGCUACAAUGGGGUGCACAAAGAGAAGCAAUACUGCGAAGUGGAGCCAAUCUUCAAAACGCCUCUCAGUUCGGAUUGUAGGCUGCAACUCGCCUGCAUGAAGCUGGAAUCGCUAGUAAUCGCAAAUCAGCCAUGUUGCGGUGAAUACGUUCCCGGGUCUUGUACUCACCGCCCGUCACACCAUGGGAGUUGUGUUUGCCUUAAGUCAGGAUGCUAAAUUAGCUACUGCCCACGGCACACACAGCGACUGGGGUGAAGUCGUAACAAGGUAACCGUAGGUGAACCUGCGGUUGGAUCACCUCCUUUCUAGA
This 1508-nucleotide ribosomal RNA is filed under the name Helicobacter pylori. Its description in RNAcentral is "bacterial SSU rRNA". It matches the Rfam family "Bacterial small subunit ribosomal RNA". Lineage: Bacteria; Pseudomonadati; Campylobacterota; Epsilonproteobacteria; Campylobacterales; Helicobacteraceae. The record is from RNAcentral.